This 279-nucleotide ribosomal RNA is filed under the name uncultured bacterium. RNAcentral describes it as "partial 16S ribosomal RNA". It matches the Rfam family "Bacterial small subunit ribosomal RNA", at positions 506 to 784 of the family's 1533-position model. The record is from RNAcentral.
UGCCAGCAGCCGUGGUAAUACGGAGGGUGCGAGCGUUGUCCGGAUUUAUUGGGUUUAAAGGGUGCGUAGGCGGUCUUUUAAGUCAGAGCUGAAAUCCAACGGCUUAACCGUUGAGCUGGCUUUGAUACUGGAAGACUUGAGUACAGACGAGGUAGGCGGAAUUUAUGGUGUAGCGGUGAAAUGCAUAGAUACCAUAAAGAACACCGAUAGCGAAGGCAGCUUACUAGACUGUAACUGACGCUGAGGCACGAAAGCGUGGGUAGCGAACAGGAUUAGAUA